Molecule: long non-coding RNA, 266 nt
Filed under: Salvia miltiorrhiza (redroot sage)
Lineage: Eukaryota; Viridiplantae; Streptophyta; Magnoliopsida; Lamiales; Lamiaceae
Description: long non-coding RNA (SMIL_LNC011106)
Source: RNAcentral
UUGAGUAGGUAGUGCUGCAUUGGGGUUCCUUGAUAGCCUACUUGAUAAUAUUAGUUUUGAUUUUAUGUUUUUCAUUUAAAUUUAAUUGCUCAAAUUUAAAUAACACAAUUUAUUUCAAAUUUAAAUUGCAUUAAUUAUAAAAUCUUAAAUAUUACAUAAAACUUUAAUAAAAUAAAAAAAAUUAAAAAAAAAACAAAAUAAAAACAGCCAUUGAAAAUUAAAAUAUAUAUAUAUAUAUUUUUUUAUUUGAGGCUCGAGUACUACCC